This 447-nucleotide ribosomal RNA is filed under the name uncultured bacterium. RNAcentral describes it as "bacterial SSU rRNA". It matches the Rfam family "Bacterial small subunit ribosomal RNA", at positions 355 to 825 of the family's 1533-position model. The record is from RNAcentral.
UCGGGAAUUUUGGGCAAUGGGCGAAAGCCUGACCCAGCAACGCCGCGUGAAGGAUGAAGUAUUUCGGUAUGUAAACUUCGUAAGAAUAGGAAGAAUAAAUGACGGUACUAUUUGUAAGGUCCGGCUAACUACGUGCCAGCAGCCGCGGUAAUACGUAGGGACCAAGCGUUGUUCGGAUUUACUGGGCGUAAAGGGCGCGUAGGCGGUUUGUCAAGUCAGUUGUGAAAUCUCCGAGCUUAACUCGGAACGGUCAACUGAUACUGUCAAACUAGAGUACAGAAGGGGCAAUCGGAAUUCUUGGUGUAGCGGUGAAAUGCGUAGAUAUCAAGAGGAACACCUGAGGCGAAGGCGGGUUGCUAGGCUGAUACUGACGCUGAGGCGCGAAAGCUAGGGUAGCAAACGGGAUUAGAUACCCUUGUAGUCCCUGAGCGGGCUGGCAAGGCGCAU